AAUGAAGUUAGAUUUAUUGUUUUCUUAUCCCUCUUUUAUUGAAAAUAGAAACACUAAACUAUUAUAUUUCUUUUAUAAUGAAAGUAAAGUAUUAAAAAAAACUAUUAUAUUUUAAAAAUAAAAAAUAUAUAUUUAAUAUAUUUUCGGGCCGAGUCCGGGCCAAAAAAAUUGUACCCGAGGCUCGGCCCGUUUUCUAAACGGGUCUAAAUUUUUACCCAAGCCCAUAUUUCGGGCCUAUAUUUUUACCCAAAUCCUCCCAUAUUUAGGGCGGACUUUCGGGCCGGGCCGGGCCGCCUACUCUCUUUAAACCUUGGCAUAGAUUUCCCAAAAGACUCCUCAUAAUUCGUAAUAUCACUCCCACAUUCGAGUUUUUAUUCCAUUCUCCUAAUCCGACCAUUGAUCCAGCCUAAAAUUGACAUAGGUUGCUCUCCUCCACCCUUUCUCUGUCUUCAACCGUUCGGAUUGAUAAACGGAGCUCCGACGCCCUAACUGCUGAAAAACCCGAAAGAUGGGUUCUCUCUUCUCUUUUUUUUUUAUUUGUUUGAAUACUGACUUGUUUGGUUUGCAGGUGUCACGGUGGAGCUCUCUUUCUUUCUUUCUUUUGUAUGUAUUUGUAUUUUGGUUUCCUGUUUAGGUUUGGGUUUUGGGUUGCUGUUGAUCGGUUGGUUCGGCUGUUUGGAGUGGGUUUCAGUUUAGGGGCUCGGUCGUGGUGUUGAUGGUGGCUGGUAAUGUCGAAAAUGGUGGUGAUGUCUUGUUGAGGAAAUGAGGGUGAGAGUGCGAGAGAGAGUGUGAGAGGGAGCUAAGAGAGCGGGAGAGGAGCCCCGAUGACUUAUCAAAGUCGGGGUGAUGAUGGAUGCCAGUAGGGGCACUGUUUUGGUUCGGUGAUGGACUGGUAUAGUGGUAUGAGGGGUGAGGUUUAGAGUUGGCAGAAACUUGGGAGCUGAGAGGGAUGGCCGGUUGGAGCCCAAAGAGCGGUCGAGAGUGAUGGUAAUGGAAGGUUUCUAGGUAAUCGAGAGGGAGCCCCCUUUUUCUUUGUUCUUGGUUGUUUGUGGAGGAGGAGGAUGAUGGAUUGAUGGAGAUGGGACAGGGUGUCUACAGGGUGAUUGUUGUGCAGGGCAUGGGGCGGUAGGUUGGCUGAUAGGAGUUGGUAGUUGGUGGAAGUGAUGGAGUGUAGGGACGGAUUUGCAAAAAGAGAGAAACUUAGGGCCAUUUUUGCAAUAUUUUCUUUUUUGAUUUUGUAAUUUUUAUUUUUGAUUUUUGGGUAUUUUGUAAUUUAAUAAAAUAUAAUAAAAUAUUAAAUAAAAAUUAUAAAAAAAUUAAACAUUAGUGGGCCAAAAACCCAAAACAUUAAAUUUAAAGAAAAUUAUUUUUAAAAAAAACCCUCAAAUCCAAUUUCAAAUAGCUGAAAUAAAAUUUUACAAAAAUCCAGAAGGCUCAAAAUUACAUUAUAAA
This 1452-nucleotide long non-coding RNA is filed under the name Gossypium raimondii (Peruvian cotton). Its description in RNAcentral is "long non-coding RNA (GRAI_LNC010132)". Lineage: Eukaryota; Viridiplantae; Streptophyta; Magnoliopsida; Malvales; Malvaceae. The record is from RNAcentral.